Molecule: transfer RNA, 90 nt
Filed under: Planctomycetota bacterium
Lineage: Bacteria; Pseudomonadati; Planctomycetota
Description: tRNA-Ser
Rfam family: tRNA
About the family: Transfer RNA (tRNA) molecules are approximately 80 nucleotides in length.
Source: RNAcentral
GGAGAGGUGUCUGAGCGGCCGAAGGUACGCGCUUGGAAAGCGCGUGUGUCGGAAACGGCACCGGGGGUUCGAAUCCCCCCCUCUCCGCCA